RNAcentral lists this small RNA (27 nucleotides) under Bombyx mori (domestic silkworm). RNAcentral describes it as "ovarian small RNA-38485". The record is from RNAcentral. Lineage: Eukaryota; Metazoa; Arthropoda; Insecta; Lepidoptera; Bombycidae.
UUUUUCCCGCGCGCGACGGUGGUGAAC